GUGGGACCCCAAGAAGGUUCUGGAGGUUCUUGGGACCCCCAGGAAAGUUGUGGAGGUUCUUGAGGGGUUAUGAGAAGGUCCUGGAGGUUCUUGAGGUUCCAGGAAGGUUCUAGAGGUUCUUGAGGAGAUUCUUUAGGAGGUUCUGGAUGCUCUUGGGGAGGUUCUGAAGGUUCUGGAUGCUCUGGGGGAGGCCCUGGAGCCCCCAGGAAGGUUCUGGGUGCUCUUGAGGAGGUUCUGGAGGCUCUGGAUGCGGCCCUGGAGCCCCCAGGAAGGUUCUGGGUGCUCUUGAGGAGGUUCUGGAUGCUCUUGGGG
Long non-coding RNA from Myiozetetes cayanensis, 312 nucleotides. RefSeq lists it as uncharacterized. The record is from RefSeq and is a predicted model, not a curated record. Lineage: Eukaryota; Metazoa; Chordata; Aves; Passeriformes; Tyrannidae. The transcript is spliced from 3 exons.